ACGAACGCUGGCGGCGUGCUUAACACAUGCAAGUCGAACGGUAAGGCCCUUUCGGGGGUACACGAGUGGCGAACGGGUGAGUAACACGUGGGUAAUCUGCCCUGCACUUCGAGAUAAGCCUGGGAAACCGGGUCUAAUACCGGAUAUGAGCUCCUGCCGCAUGGUGGGGGUUGGAAAGUUUUUCGGUGCAGGAUGAGUCCGCGGCCUAUCAGCUUGUUGGUGGGGUAAUGGCCUACCAAGGCGACGACGGGUAGCCG
This 257-nucleotide ribosomal RNA is filed under the name uncultured bacterium. RNAcentral describes it as "partial 16S ribosomal RNA". It matches the Rfam family "Bacterial small subunit ribosomal RNA", at positions 29 to 289 of the family's 1533-position model. The record is from RNAcentral.